UAAAUAAAAUAAAAAAGUUUUCUGUAAUAUUUCGACCGCGAUUAGAGAGUGUUCAUGGAGAGAUUUUUUUAUUACGUCUAGACAUGUUCAUAUUAGUUUUUGCAUUAUAGCAAGGAGGAUUGAUGAAUUAUAGAAUAUAUACUCUUCCAAAGUUUUGAAGUCUUACCUCCAAUAAUUUUCAAAAUUUUAAAUAAAAUAGAAUACCAUGAAUCUUUAGCAAAG
This 222-nucleotide unclassified non-coding RNA is filed under the name Hevea brasiliensis (rubber tree). The record is from RNAcentral. Lineage: Eukaryota; Viridiplantae; Streptophyta; Magnoliopsida; Malpighiales; Euphorbiaceae.